Molecule: ribosomal RNA, 387 nt
Filed under: uncultured eukaryote
Lineage: Eukaryota
Also listed under: 1 other name
Description: SSU rRNA
Rfam family: Eukaryotic small subunit ribosomal RNA
Source: RNAcentral
AGCUCCAAAAGUGUAUAUUUAAGUUGCUGCGGUUAAAAAGCUCGUAGUCGGAUGUCGGGCGCGGUCGAUCGGUCCGUCGCGAGACGUGUCACUGGUCGGCCGGCCAAUGCAGCCUGUGUCCCGGCGGUGCUCUUGAUUGAGUGCCGCCGGUGGGCCAGGCCGGUUACUUUGAAAAAAUUAGAGUGUUCAAAGCAGGCCCUGGGAGCCUGAAUAUCGGUGCACGGAAUAACGAAAGAGGACCUCGGUCUUGCUUUUGUUGGUUUUUGAAGGCGCGAGGUAAUGAUCGAGAGAGACGGACGGGGGCAUCCGUACUGUGCCGUCAGAGGUGAAAUUCUUGGACCGGCGCAAGACGAACUACUGCGAAAGCAUUUGCCAAGAAUGUUUUCC